Long non-coding RNA from Cyprinus carpio carpio, 1185 nucleotides. NCBI's taxonomy places the organism in Eukaryota, Metazoa, Chordata, Actinopteri, Cypriniformes, Cyprinidae. The record is from Ensembl.
GGCUAUUUCAUCCAACCCGACUGAGGAAUGGCCUUGAUGUGGUCAUCGAGGACGACCGAAUAGAUGAGGUGCUAAAAGGCAUGACCGACAAAUCAUCACCGGGCGUGUAAACCCGCGCGAUGCCUGGCAGACAUUUCAAUUUUUAUCACCGAUUCGAAGCACUUGUCGGUUGUGCAUGUGAAGAAGAUUGCAAAGAGAUGGAGAGACGGUGGCACGACGCUCGAACCACGGGGAGACUAAACUAAAAAGGGGAAAAGGAGAAUUAAAGAAGGGAGAGACGGAAUUUCCUUUGGGGUUUGCUGGCAAUUCUCCAAUAUAAACGACAACCCGAAUGGAAGCUUUGAGGAAGAUGUCGGAGAUGUUGAGGCUGUGGCUCUGUGAAUAAGGAUGGAUUGAUUUGCCAUUAUUAUUCCACGACCAUCAUCUUCCAAAUGCGCAGUAAACAAAACAAAGUUCAACCGAAGACUGAACCGCAUCUUACGCUGUUACUAUAGAUGUACAGUAUCUUAGCUCGAAGACCUACCCCUUAACACACAAACACACACACGCACACGCACACAUGGAUCUGCCUUGAGCGUCGACUUCAAUCCGACUGCUGCUUUUAGAGACAUUUUAGAUUUAACACACACAAAGACAUUAAGCUCCCAUAAUGAUAAAUGAACUAUAUAUACGGAUGAUGCAAUGUGAAUAUUUUCUCUCGCUAUUUUGCGUCAUAUUCUUUUUCAGAGAUUAUCAUACACAUGCCCACAGGUGUUGAAGCGUGUAGUCUUUAAAGCGUCGUUUGGUGAUCUAUUGUUUUGCUCUUCACUGCAGCUGAUUUGCGCACCUGCGCCACGGAUUCACAUCAUCAGUACAAGCACAGAGGAACAUUGUGCAUUACCAACUCUUGUAAUUAACCCAACAUGAAUGCAUCUCGAUUUCUUCCAAGCCUAAGUUUUUGAUUUUUUUUUUUUUCAUCAGCUCCUCACAUUUCUUUUGUCGUGUCCAUCUCUUUGCAUGAACUUUCACUCUGGUGCCAACAGAGGUGCCACCAUGAAUCUUACCCUGGCACGCUUCUUUUUAAAAAAAGUCAUAUUUGUAUUUUUAUAUCUAAAUAUUUGUUAUUUAAAAUGAUAUUCUAGUAUGUCGUCUUAAAGAUUCAUCAACAAUGAUGUUUAUAUUUCAGAGAAAAAUCUUUAGAUGGGG